This 423-nucleotide ribosomal RNA is filed under the name uncultured bacterium. RNAcentral describes it as "bacterial SSU rRNA". It matches the Rfam family "Bacterial small subunit ribosomal RNA", at positions 917 to 1345 of the family's 1533-position model. The record is from RNAcentral.
GGGCCCGCACAAGCGGUGGAGCAUGUGGUUUAAUUCGAAAAUACGCGCAGAACCUUACCAGCUCUUGACAUAUAAAUGGACUUCUUUGAGAGAAGAAGUUUUCAUGUUUAUACAGGUGUUGCAUGGCUGUCGUCAGCUCGUGUCGUAAGAUGUUGGGUUAAGUCCUUUAACGAGCGCAACCCCUAUGAAUAGUUGCUACUUUCUAUAAGAAAGGCACUCUAUUCAGACUGCUAGUGAUAAGCUGGAGGAAGGUGGGGAUGACGUCAAGUCCUCAUGGCCCUUAUGGGCUGGGCUACACACGUGCUACAAUGGUAAUGACAAAGGGAAGCAAUAACGCGAGUUGGAGCGAAUCCUUAAAGAUUAUCUCAGUUCGGAUUGCAGGCUGCAACUCGCCUGCAUGAAGUUGGAAUCGCUAGUAAUCGU